GAACGGCGGUAGCGAUACCGGCGUGGCGCACGGGUGAGUAACGCGUGGGAACCUGCCCUUGAGUGGGGGAUAACCCGGCGAAAGCCGGGCUAAUACCGCAUACGCCCCAUGAGCGAUCAUGGGGGAAAGAUUUAUCGCUCGAGGAGGGGCCCGCGUGGGAUUAGCUAGUUGGUGGGGUAAUGGCUCACCAAGGCGACGAUCCGUAGCUGGUCUGAGAGGAUGAUCAGCCACACUGGGACUGAGACACGGCCCAGACUCCUACGGGAGGCAGCAGUGGGGAAUAUUGGACAAUGGGCGCAAGCCUGAUCCAGCCAUGCCGCGUGAGUGACGAAGGCCUUAGGGUUGUAAAGCUCUUUUGGCGGGGAAGAUAAUGACGGUACCCGCAGAAUAAGCUCCGGCUAACUUCGUG
RNAcentral lists this ribosomal RNA (409 nucleotides) under uncultured bacterium. Its description in RNAcentral is "bacterial SSU rRNA". It matches the Rfam family "Bacterial small subunit ribosomal RNA", at positions 64 to 507 of the family's 1533-position model. The record is from RNAcentral.